This 370-nucleotide long non-coding RNA is filed under the name Rattus norvegicus (Norway rat). RNAcentral's name for it is "long non-coding RNA NONRATT033900". The record is from RNAcentral. Lineage: Eukaryota; Metazoa; Chordata; Mammalia; Rodentia; Muridae.
GGAAGAUGAAAUGGAGAAAGACUAAAAGCAAAUGAUAAAGGAAGCUUUUGCUGGGGAUGAUAUCAUCAAAGAGUUCCUAAAAGAGAAGAGAAAAACUAUCCAGGCCAAUAAGCCAAAGGACAUGGAUCCGACUUUGCCUGGCUGGGGAUAGUGGGACAGCAUGAACCUGAAGCCCGGAACCAAGAAAAGACACAGUAUUUGGCUUUCAAGAUUUCUUAUUAAGGACCCUGAAGAUCCUCCAAGAAAAGAUAAGAAUUUGCCCAAUGUGCUUGUUAGUGAGAAGUACAACAUUAACAUUACAGCACACCAGGUAAGGUUUAGAGAGCUCUCUACUUGUCUGAUCUCCAUCGCUAGCUUCCCUUGAAAGAAC